UACGUAGGGUGCGAGCGUUGUCCGGAAUUAUUGGGCGUAAAGAGCUCGUAGGCGGCUUGUCGCGUCGGUUGUGAAAGCCCGGGGCUUAACCCCGGGUCUGCAGUCGAUACGGGCAGACUAGAGUGCGGUAGGGGAGACUGGAAUUCCUGGUGUAGCGGUGAAAUGCGCAGAUAUCAGGAGGAACACCGGUGGCGAAGGCGGUUCUCUGGGCAUUACCUGACGCUGAGGAGCGAAAGUGUGGGGAGCGAACAGG
RNAcentral lists this ribosomal RNA (253 nucleotides) under uncultured bacterium. Its description in RNAcentral is "partial 16S ribosomal RNA". It matches the Rfam family "Bacterial small subunit ribosomal RNA", at positions 524 to 776 of the family's 1533-position model. The record is from RNAcentral.